GGUUGUGGCUCAGUGGCAGAGUGCUUGCCUAGCAUGUGUGUGGCACUGGGUUCGAUCUUCAGCACCA
This 67-nucleotide transfer RNA is filed under the name Marmota monax (woodchuck). RNAcentral's name for it is "tRNA.Ala". Lineage: Eukaryota; Metazoa; Chordata; Mammalia; Rodentia; Sciuridae. The record is from RNAcentral.